CGCUGGCGGCGUGCCUAACACAUGCAAGUCGAGCGGGGACAUGCGACGGAAGCGAAGUUUCGGAUGGAGCGGAAGAUGCAUGUUCUAGCGGCGGACGGGUGAGUAACGCGUGAGCAACCUGUCCCUUACAGGGGGAUAACACAGCGAAAGUUGUACUAAUACCGCAUAAGACCACGGGAGGACAUCCUUCAGGGGUCAAAGGAGUAAUCCGGUAAGGGGUGGGCUCGCGUCCGAUUAGAUAGUUGGUGAGGUAACGGCCCACCAAGUCGACGAUCGGUAGCCGACCUGAGAGGGUGAUCGGCCACAUUGGGACUGAGACACGGCCCAAACUCCUACGGGAGGCAGCAGUGGGGAAUAUUGGGCAAUGGGGGGAAAACCCCCUGACCCAGCAACGCCGCGUGAGGGAAGAAGGUUUUCGGAUCGUAAACCUCUGUCCUUGGUGAAGAGAGAGAGACGGUAGCCAAGGAGGAAGCCCCGGCUAACUACGUGCCAGCAGCCGC
Molecule: ribosomal RNA, 500 nt
Filed under: uncultured bacterium
Lineage: Bacteria
Description: bacterial SSU rRNA
Rfam family: Bacterial small subunit ribosomal RNA
Source: RNAcentral